This is a long non-coding RNA of Mugil cephalus (flathead mullet), 901 nucleotides long. RefSeq lists it as uncharacterized. The transcript has 3 exons. The record is from RefSeq and is a predicted model, not a curated record. NCBI's taxonomy places the organism in Eukaryota, Metazoa, Chordata, Actinopteri, Mugiliformes, Mugilidae.
UUCACUUUCACCAGGAUCGUGUCGUGUGUUCUUCUCUCCGUGUCAACCUCCGUCUGAAGGUAGAACGUUGAUGUGGAUUCAGCAGCAUGGACCAGAGGGAGGACAAAGAGGAGGGAGUCAGACAUCUGCAGGACGGGUUGACUGGUUUCAGUCAUUCACCUGAUCCCACCUGUGUUUCCCUAAGGAGUGAUCAGUCACAACAUCGCUACAUUCAUUUUAAAGGACAUCAACCCUCUGCUCCUGAGAGGAUCAGUCCAGACCCCAGCUGUGUGUCCCUCAACAGUGAUCGGUCCAAUGAUCGCCUCAUUGAUUUUAAAGGACAUCAACCCUCUGCUCCUGAGAGGUAAACCAGUGUCCAGCUUCAUCCAUGAGUCAGAGGAGACUAGCUCCUUUCUACAGUUUCCACUUUAACCUGUGGAGGUUGAUUUGAGAAGCAGGCUUUGGAUCAUAGGACACUGGUUUGAAUGGUAAUGACAGGUAGAACAUGUGUGUGGGUGGAGUGAAGAAGCCAUAUCCAUGGCUGCAGUAGCUAUGAGGACACUGCCUGUUAGUUAUUUAACAUAUUAUUCGAUGUCACUUUGACAACAGGUUACUGAAGUUAUUACAACAUCAAUUACUGUUUCUAAUAUUUCUAUUGUAUUCAAAAUGUCCCAACUACAAAAUAAAUCCUGAACUGAAAUUUCAAAUUGAUCAGAAUUAAAAGUUUAUGUCAACUAUAGGCUGUAUAUAAAAGAACCAGUUGAGUCUUGACAAGUAGUUGAAAGUUUAUCAAGUUAUGAUUUAAAUGGUUCUUAGAUAAAUAAUAUGAAAUAAACAGACAGAAAUACUGUUCAAUGAAAAAAGCCAAAGCAGUCAGUAUGGUGAAAGCCAACUUUCUUCUUCCAUGUAGCUGAAGUAGAAG